RNAcentral lists this ribosomal RNA (1371 nucleotides) under Dysgonomonas sp. RNAcentral's name for it is "partial 23S ribosomal RNA". It matches the Rfam family "Bacterial large subunit ribosomal RNA", at positions 980 to 2491 of the family's 2925-position model. The record is from RNAcentral. Lineage: Bacteria; Pseudomonadati; Bacteroidota; Bacteroidia; Bacteroidales; Dysgonomonadaceae.
GGAGUGAGGGCAUGGGUGCUAAGGUCCAUGUCCGAGAGGGAAAGAACCCAGACCAUCAGCUAAGGUCCCCAAAUACAUGUUAAGUUGAAUUAACGAAGUAUGACUACUAUGACAGCUAGGAUGUUGGCUUGGAAGCAGCCAUUCAUUUAAAGAGUGCGUAACAGCUCACUAGUCGAGUGGUCGUGCGUGGAUAAUAAUCGGGCAUUAAACAUGUUACCGAAGCUAUGGGAUUAAAUAAAUCGGUAGGGGAGCAUUCCAGUCGGCGUAGAAGGCAGACCGUAAGGUCUUCUGGAGCGUCUGGAAAAGCAAAUGUAGGUAUAAGUAACGAUAAAGGGGGUGAGAAACCCCCUCGCCGAAAGACUAAGGUUUCCUGAUCAACGCUAAUCGGAUCAGGGUAAGUCGGGACCUAAGGCUAAGCCGAACGGCAAUGCCGAUGGACGAACCGGUUAAUAUUCCGGUACUGGCUAAUAGAGUGAUGUGGUGACGCAGGAGUGAAACUCCAUCCAUCUGACGGAAUAGAUGGAUUAAGGGUGUAGACGUUGAUUUUGGUAGGCAAAUCCGCCAGAAGAGUUGAACCUGAAAGUACGGCAAUCCUUCGGGAGCGCCGAUUGGAGGUAAUCAGACUGCCAAGAAAACCCGCUAAACAUAUCUAUUAAUCACCCGUACUGUAAACGGACACACGUAGUUGGGUUGAGUAUACUAAGGCGCUCGAGCGAUUCACAGUUAAGGAAUUAGGCAAAAUGACCCUGUAACUUCGGGAGAAAGGGUACCAGCGCGAGCUGGUCGCAGAGAAUAGGAGAUUGAAGCCCCAGUAAACGGCGGCCGUAACUAUAACGGUCCUAAGGUAGCGAAAUUCCUUGUCGGGUAAGUUCCGACCUGCACGAAUGGUGUAAUGAUCUUCUCACUGUCUCAACUGUGAUCUCGGUGAAAUUGUAGUAUCGGUGAAGAUGCCGAUUACCCGCGAUGGGACGAAAAGACCCCGUGAACCUUUACUAUAGCUUUACAUUGACGUUGGGCACUUGAUGUGUAGGAUAGGCCGGAGACUAUGAAGCAGGUACGCUAGUACAGGUGGAGUCACCCUUGAAAUACGGCCCUUUAAUUGUUUGACGUCUAACUUGGGUAUCCAAGGACAGUGUAUGGUGGGUAGUUUGACUGGGGUGGUCGCCUCCAAAAGAGUAACGGAGGCUUCUAAAGGUGUGCUCAGGACGAUUGGUAACCGUUCGUAGAGUGUAAUGGUAUAAGCACGCUUGACUGAGAGACCCACAAGUCGAUCAGGUAGGAAACUAGAGCAUAGUGAUCCGGUGGUUUCAGUAUGGAAUGGCCAUCGCUCAAAGGAUAAAAGGUACUCCGGGGAUAACAGGCUGAUCAUUC